Molecule: long non-coding RNA, 382 nt
Organism: Ictalurus punctatus (channel catfish)
Lineage: Eukaryota; Metazoa; Chordata; Actinopteri; Siluriformes; Ictaluridae
Source: Ensembl
GUUGAGACGAGAGUGAGACAGACAGAUGGAGAGAGAGACGAAAGUGAGACAGACAGAUGGAGAGUGAGACGAGAGUGAGACAGACAGAUGGAGAGAGAGACGAGAGUGAGACAGACAGAUGGAGAGAGAGAGACUGAGAGACAGUUACAGACAGAUGGAGAGAGAGACGAGAGUGAGACAGACAGAUGGAGAGUGAGACGAGAGUGAGACAGACAGAUGGAGAGAGAGACGAGAGUGAGACAGACAGAUGGAGAGUGAGACGAGAGUGAGACAGACAGAUGGAGAGUGAGACGAGAGUGAGACAGACAGAUGGAGAGAGAGAGGAUGAAAUGAAGAUAAAUGGACUGUAUGUAGUAAUAGAAGACGUGUCUGAGGCAGGUGA